Homo sapiens (human) is the source of this 395-nucleotide long non-coding RNA. RefSeq lists it as uncharacterized. NCBI's taxonomy places the organism in Eukaryota, Metazoa, Chordata, Mammalia, Primates, Hominidae. The transcript is spliced from 3 exons. The record is from RefSeq and is a predicted model, not a curated record.
UUACAAUGCCCAAAGAGCAAAUUGUUUGAUUCAGCUGCAGCAAUGGUCUUUCCACAGAGAAAGUUUGCAGUUUUCAACAGCCCUAAGUGCUGCAUUCUCCUAACUGAGGUAAAUACUCUGCAUUGUUUUCUUCCCAGGUGAUUCAAGCUGCAAGAUAGAUGACUAGGACUCAAAUACCGGAAAAGAGAGCUCCACAGAACUUUUUCUCCAAGUGUGUCACCGAGAAAUAGUCCUGAAAGCAGAAUACCCCAACUGGCACAAGAGAACCACUGAUUUGCUUCCUGUCACCACAGAUCGUGCACACUGAGGAAGACAGACAACAAAUAACUCUGCGGAUAGAUCAACAUAGUGAGGAACUGAGUUCUCCAAACAGCAGCUACAUGAGUGAGCCAUUC